GAUGAACGCUGGCGGCGUGCCUAAUACAUGCAAGUAGAACGCUGAAGGAGGAGCUUGCUCUUCUGGAUGAGUUGCGAACGGGUGAGUAACGCGUAGGUAACCUGCCUGGUAGCGGGGGAUAACUAUUGGAAACGAUAGCUAAUACCGCAUGACAACAGUUAUUGCAUGAUAAUUGUUUAAAAGGGGCAACUGCUCCACUACCAGAUGGACCUGCGUUGUAUUAGCUAGUUGGUGAGGUAACGGCUCACCAAGGCGACGAUACAUAGCCGACCUGAGAGGGUGAUCGGCCACACUGGGACUGAGACACGGCCCAGACUCCUACGGGAGGCAGCAGUAGGGAAUCUUCGGCAAUGGACGGAAGUCUGACCGAGCAACGCCGCGUGAGUGAAGAAGGUUUUCGGAUCGUAAAGCUCUGUUGUAAGAGAAGAACGAGUGUGAGAGUGGAAAGUUCACACUGUGACGGUAUCUUACCAGAAAGGGACGGCUAACUACGUG
This 495-nucleotide ribosomal RNA is filed under the name uncultured bacterium. RNAcentral's name for it is "partial 16S ribosomal RNA". It matches the Rfam family "Bacterial small subunit ribosomal RNA", at positions 28 to 507 of the family's 1533-position model. The record is from RNAcentral.